UUUCUGUGGUUCACUGAGAUAGUGUUCCCUUUUGCUGGCAUUUAACCUUAACAUGAAUGUAGUCAUUGUUGGGGUGCACAGACUCACUGCUUGCUAAAACAUCUGACUGGCAGCUGGGAUGUCAGAGGCUCAGAGGGAAAGCUGAUGUGUCACCAGCACUGCUAUCAGCCUUAUGGUGGAAGAGACCAUUUGUGCCACCUUGACUGAGCUAUAGAAAGCAGCUGGAGAGCAGCCCACGACCUGUCCCAUCUCCUGUAGGCUGUGGCCAUUGUGUCUGUGGUGUGCUGUGCUCCUCUCUCCUGGGAAAGAUGCCCAGAGCUGCAGAAGAACAUUCUGUGACCCAGUGACAUGCUGUCUGCCUUUGGAGAUGGGCUUAGUGCCGUCCAUGUCCAGACAGGUUUUGGAUGUCUUGGAGAAUGGAGACUCUACAACCUCCCUGGGCAACUGAUGCCAGUGCCUGGUUACUCUCACAGUGAAGAAGUGUUUCCUGAUGUUCAGAUGAUUUCAGUUUGUGCCCAUUGCCUCCGGUGCUGUGAAUCAUACUGGAUUUGCAAAUGCUUUGUUUGCUCCUUUUGUUUUCCUGACUUAGAAGAAGUGGAGUGUUUGAAGAAUCAGCAGAAUCAAAGUUAACUUUAGAAAUAGUUUAAAUAUAAGAGGGAUUAACCCUGACUUUAAGAAGUGCUGCCCUGCCUAGAUUUGAAAAAGUUUGAAUAUGCACAAAGGAUAUAACUGGAAAGAAUGUUAAAAGAAAAUAUUACCAUUAGUUAUGUUAGUAAAGUUCCUUUGCUGAAAUCGUAUGACAAUUUUAGAUGGUAAGCUACUUUUUAUAGAAUGGAAGGACUCUCAAAUCUGCAUAUUAAAGACUGAGACAGUCAUAUAUGAAGAGUAUUUUUUCUGAAUAAAGUUUCAUAUAUGUGAUUCA
RNAcentral lists this long non-coding RNA (922 nucleotides) under Junco hyemalis (dark-eyed junco). RNAcentral's name for it is "lncRNA (ENSJHYG00000015349.1)". Lineage: Eukaryota; Metazoa; Chordata; Aves; Passeriformes; Passerellidae. The record is from RNAcentral.